CAGCCGCCGCGGGAAUACGUAGGUGGCAAGCGUUGUCCGGAAUUAUUGGGCGUAAAGCGCGCGCAGGUGGUUUAAUAAGUCUGAUGUGAAAGCCCACGGCUCAACCGUGGAGGGUCAUUGGAAACUGGGAAACUUGAGUGCAGAAGAGGAGAGUGGAAUUCCACGUGUAGCGGUGAAAUGCGUAGAGAUGUGGAGGAACACCAGUGGCGAAGGCGACUCUCUGGUCUGUAACUGACACUGAGAGAUGAAAGCUAGGGGAGAAAAUGGGAUUAGAUACCCCCGUAGUCCCUGUCUCUUAUAC
RNAcentral lists this ribosomal RNA (301 nucleotides) under uncultured bacterium. Its description in RNAcentral is "partial 16S ribosomal RNA". It matches the Rfam family "Bacterial small subunit ribosomal RNA", at positions 509 to 807 of the family's 1533-position model. The record is from RNAcentral.